CAGGACUGCUGGUAUUAAGCCGGAGGAAGGUGGGACGACGUCAAGUCAGCAUGACCUUUAUAUCCAGGGCUACACACACGCUACAAUGGUCAGUACAAUGGGUUGCCAAGCCGCGAGGCGGAGCCAAUCCUAAAAAGCUAGGCCUCAGUUCAGAUUGCAGUCUGAAACUCGACUGCAUGAAGUCGGAGUUGCUAGUAAACGCAGGUCAGCUAUACUGCGUUGAAUACGUUCCCGGGGCUU
RNAcentral lists this ribosomal RNA (240 nucleotides) under uncultured Anaerolineaceae bacterium. RNAcentral describes it as "partial 16S ribosomal RNA". It matches the Rfam family "Bacterial small subunit ribosomal RNA", at positions 1144 to 1382 of the family's 1533-position model. The record is from RNAcentral. Lineage: Bacteria; Bacillati; Chloroflexota; Anaerolineae; Anaerolineales; Anaerolineaceae.